AAAAUGGCAGCAAUGUAUAGAUAUUUUAAAGUGUUGGAAAGUGACAAAAGUAUUGCAGUUUGCAACGAAUGUUCAGCCAAACUGUCUCGAGGAGGUGCCUCAGCAAAGACCUUCAACACUAUUGCAGCAGCUGAAAGGAGAGCUGGUCACAGAACGAGAACGCCCCCGUCUGUGGCAGACGUCUUUGAGAGGACGAAAAAGUUUGCGACUGACAGUGCCAAAGCAAACGGAAUUACAAAGAAGGUAAUGGAGUUUAUGAAUUGGACUUAUUAAAGCCACUUGGAGACAGUGAAGUGACGCACAGAGAGAAAAAGAAUGCGCACCACAGAGGCAGCACGUGUGCCCUCACUCUCUGACAUGUUUGAAGAAAUCCUCCAGGAAAACGACUCAGAUUCCAGGCAGACGAGUAUGAGUGCAACUGCUCAACAGCUAGACUGUUACCUGUCAGAAGUCCUUAUCCCCAGGAGUGACAAUCCUCUAACAUUGGAGGACCAAUUGAGACUGCUUUCCUGACUUAGCACAGAUGGCACGCAGGUACUUGUCUGCUCCAUGCAACAGCACAGACAGUGAGAGGCUAUUUAGUGCUGCAUCCAAUGUCUUUGACGAGAGGAGGAACAGACUGACAUGUGACAAAGCAGAGAAGCUACUGUUCAUAAAGAAUAACCUGCCACUGUUCCUGAAGGAAUGGGCUAAGUAGACUUAUGCCAAAAGGACAAUAAUUCAUUUGUUAUUUGCACUUAGGUUUUUCAAUGCACUUUAAUGCAUGUUUUUGUUGGAAUGUCUACAGCAGGAGUCAGCAUACUGUAGGUUCAAUCAUGGACCAGAUUUCUUAACCUUUUUUGGGGGGUUUGACAUACAGGCACCGUUGUUGAUGUUUUUGUCUGACAUCUAAGACAAAUUAAAAUAUUUUUAUACAGAA
Nerophis ophidion (straightnose pipefish) is the source of this 919-nucleotide long non-coding RNA. RefSeq lists it as uncharacterized. The transcript is spliced from 2 exons. The record is from RefSeq and is a predicted model, not a curated record. Lineage: Eukaryota; Metazoa; Chordata; Actinopteri; Syngnathiformes; Syngnathidae.